GACGAACGCUGGCGGCGUGCUUAACACAUGCAAGUCGAACGGAAAGGCCCUGCCUUUGUUGGGUGCUCGAGUGGCGAACGGGUGAGUAACACGUGAGUAACCUGCCCUUCACUUUGGGAUAACUUCAGGAAACUGGGGCUAAUACCGGAUAGGAGCUCCUGCUGCAUGGUGGGGGUUGGAAAGUUUCGGCGGUUGGGGAGGGACUCGCGGCUUAUCAGCUUGUUGGGGGGGUAGUGGAUUACCAAGGCUUUGAGGGGUAGCCGGCCUGAGGGGGUGCGCGGCCACUUGGGGUCUGAGACAGGGCCCAGACCCCCGCGGGGGGCAGCAGUGGGAAAUUUUGCACAAUGGGCGGAAGCCAGACGCAGCAGCGCCGCGUGCGGGAAGAGGGCUUGCGGUUUGUAAACCGCUUUCGCCGGAGAAGGAGCGUGAGUGACGGUAACGGGUAAAGAAGCACCGGCUAACUACGUG
Molecule: ribosomal RNA, 468 nt
Filed under: uncultured bacterium
Lineage: Bacteria
Description: partial 16S ribosomal RNA
Rfam family: Bacterial small subunit ribosomal RNA
Source: RNAcentral